RNAcentral lists this ribosomal RNA (433 nucleotides) under uncultured bacterium. RNAcentral's name for it is "partial 16S ribosomal RNA". It matches the Rfam family "Bacterial small subunit ribosomal RNA", at positions 29 to 507 of the family's 1533-position model. The record is from RNAcentral.
AACGAACGCUGGCGGCAUGCCUAACACAUGCAAGUCGAACGAGACCUUCGGGUCUAGUGGCGCACGGGUGCGUAACGCGUGGGAACCUGCCCUUAGGUUCGGAAUAACUCCCCGAAAGGGGUGCUAAUACCGGAUAAUGUCUUCGGACCAAAGAUUUAUCGCCUUUGGAUGGGCCCGCGUUGGAUUAGCUAGUUGGGAGGGUAAAAGCCUACCAAGGCGACGAUCCAUAGCUGGUCUGAGAGGAUGAUCAGCCACACUGGGACUGAGACACGGCCCAGACUCCUACGGGAGGCAGCAGUGGGGAAUAUUGGACAAUGGGCGAAGGCCUGAUCCAGCAAUGCCGCGUGAGUGAUGAAGGCCUUAGGGUUGUAAAGCUCUUUUACCCGGGAUGAUAAUGACAGUACCGGGAGAAUAAGCCCCGGCUAACUCCGUG